Medicago truncatula (barrel medic) is the source of this 89-nucleotide microRNA precursor. It matches the Rfam family "MIR2617 microRNA precursor family". The record is from Rfam. Lineage: Eukaryota; Viridiplantae; Streptophyta; Magnoliopsida; Fabales; Fabaceae.
AUGAAAUGUGACAUGCCCGUUGGGUUUUCUCUGAUAUAGGAUUAUUAUUACUAUUUAAUUGAUUUUGGGAAACGGGGUGUUACACUUUG